This 547-nucleotide ribosomal RNA is filed under the name Haemogregarina sp. Its description in RNAcentral is "SSU rRNA". It matches the Rfam family "Eukaryotic small subunit ribosomal RNA", at positions 362 to 903 of the family's 1831-position model. Lineage: Eukaryota; Apicomplexa; Haemogregarinidae. The record is from RNAcentral.
ACGGGGGAUUAGGGUUUGAUUCCGGAGAGGGAGCCUGAGAAACGGCUACCACAUCUAAGGAAGGCAGCAGGCGCGCAAAUUACCCAAUUCUAACAGCAUAAGAGAGGUAGUGACAAGAAAUAACAAUACAAGGCAAUUAAAAUGCUUUGUAAUUGGAAUGAUAGAAAUUUAAACACUUUCUAAAGUAUCAAUUGGAGGGCAAGUCUGGUGCCAGCAGCCGCGGUAAUUCCAGCUCCAAUAGCGUAUAUUAAAGUUGUUGCAGUUAAAAAGCUCGUAGUUGGAUUUCUGCUAGAAGUAACCGGUCUGCUUUUUAUUAAGUGGCAUCUUGGUGUGCUUUUAGCUUUAAUAUCCUAUGAAAUGUUUUUUACUUUAUUGUUAAAAGCAAUAUUCAGGAUUUUUACUUUGAGAAAAUUAGAGUGUUUCAAGCAGACUACCGUUUUGAAUACUGCAGCAUGGAAUAAUAAAAUAGGAUUUUGGUUCUACAUUAUUGGUUUUAAGAGCUAAAUUAAUGACUAAUAAAGACAGUUGGGGGCAUUUGUAUUUAACU